This is a long non-coding RNA of Canis lupus familiaris (dog), 468 nucleotides long. RefSeq lists it as uncharacterized. The transcript is spliced from 3 exons. NCBI's taxonomy places the organism in Eukaryota, Metazoa, Chordata, Mammalia, Carnivora, Canidae. The record is from RefSeq and is a predicted model, not a curated record.
GAUUUAUUCUUUCCUCAGGGCUGAAUACUAAUAUGAGGGAUGUCUUUGUUUCUUGGCAGAGAAUGGAUGCUGCAAUAUAAACCCUAGGUGCUUCCAGACAGUUUGGUUGCCUGCCUGGCUUUCCUUCUUCUGGUUGUGUCUGCAAUUGCCAAGGGAGUGGUGGAAGACUUUCUGGAAGACACUUAGGUUCAACCAGACUCCUUAGAUGGGUUCUCUUUGGUUCCAAGGCAUUCCCAGCUGCUGACACAGUCACAAAUUCUGUCUGAAUAGGAGGGUGACCUUUUCAGAGAGGAGUCAAUGUUUGGAAGAAGCAGCAUCUGGCACCUCGGCUCUGUGAAACAUCAAUGACUGCUCCUGGGAAGGGGAAUCAAGAAGCAGCCGACCUGCCUUAGGAAGGCAAGUGACCUGGGUUACUCCUACCCACUGCCAGUCACAUCGAUUUUUCUGCAUAUGACCAGAUGUCCUCAA